This 371-nucleotide ribosomal RNA is filed under the name uncultured bacterium. Its description in RNAcentral is "bacterial SSU rRNA". It matches the Rfam family "Bacterial small subunit ribosomal RNA", at positions 527 to 896 of the family's 1533-position model. The record is from RNAcentral.
GAGGGGGGCGAGCGUUGUUCGGAAUUAUUGGGCGUAAAGGGCGCGUAGGCGGUGCGGUAAGUCACCUGUGAAACCUCUGGGCUUAACUCAGAGCCUGCAGGCGAAACUACCGUGCUUGAGUGUGGGAGAGGUGCGUGGAAUUCCCGGUGUAGCGGUGAAAUGCGUAGAUAUUGGGAGGAACACCAGUGGCGAAGGCGGCUCGCUGGACCGGUUCUGACGCUGAUGCGCGAAAGCGUGGGGAGCAAACGGGAUUAGAUACCCCGGUAGUCCACGCUGUAAACGAUGAGUGCUUGGUGUAGCGGGUAUCGACCCCUGCUGUGCCGAAGUCAACACAUUAAGCACUCCGCCUGGGGAGUACGGUCGCAAGGCUG